UCGCGAUGUCGAGCCGUGGGUUGAAAGCAAAUGCAAGAGCAAAAACUCAUAAACAAUUUGUAAACAGAGAGGAAUCAACAUUAGCGACAUGCGUGCAACAAAGGACACAGGAGACCAGAACUGGCGUCGACGGAGCAUCUGCGCGCUGCACGUAGCGUUGAACAAGAGGAGUCAAGCCAGCUGGUGUAUACGAUUGAACGGAAACAACUCCUUGAGGAGCAACGAGGAGCAAUGAAGGGGAGGACUACACAGGACGGACACGGGACAAGAACCGACAAUGAAGCGUGUCUAAUAAUGCGCGUUGAUUUGCACAUGCUGCUCAUACCUUCUCUUCCGGUGCUCAGUUGAUUUCUCGUAACAUCAGGAUUCGACCUCGCCAUGGAUUUGCACUGCUCCUACUGCUCGUGACCUUGCUCGAACGGCUCAUUACGCUUCCCAUGCAGCGCGUAAAGCCACUCGUAAAGCCCCUCGUAUAGCUUGUAAAGCCCCUCGUACAGCUUGUAAAGCCGCUCAUAUUGCGCGUUAGCUUUCACAUACUGCUCAUGAGUUUGCACAUCUAUGUCUUUCUGUUUUCUUUUUGUUUUUGUUUUUUACAAUGGGAUUUCGUUUCAUGUGUCUAUAAGUUGCUACCGACUACCCACGGAAGCUUGAUUCUGACCUUUCGCUUGUGUCCUCAGCGAGUGCAUCGCUUGUGUUUUUGUUGCGUAUUCCAUUGAUGCUGCCGAGGAGCAUACCUAGUGCAGAGGAGCAGCAUGCCAUAUAUUAUCUCUUGCUGUGCACUAUAACGCAGAUAGUUCUGUUUCCCUCACUUGCUGUUGACGCCCUGUUCGCAUUGGAUGCCUUAAUUGGUAAGCACCACAAGUUGUUCAUCGAGAUCUGUGGCAGUGAAAGACUUACUCCAAAACUCCACACGCUACUACACAUCGUACGACAGGCUAGGAAUUUUGAAGCUUCUCGCCAUCACUGGGCGAUGUGAUUCGAAGGCAACAAUGCCCUACCCAAGUCGAAAAAAAUUCUGGAAUUACCGGAACCUGCCAUAUUCAGCUGCACCUGUCUUGCGAUCUGUGGCAUGGGGAAGGAACUCCAGAUCUCUUUCAUGAUGUUACACUGUAAAAGGGUGCGGUGGCAAGUUCACCUGUGGAGCUUACAGCGCAGUUUCUGUCUGUUGGGCUUGACAGGCGAUAUGUCGGUGAAAGGGCUACUGCUGUCGUCAAGGCAGUAAUUAACAAUUGUGAUGCUUCAUGCUGAAGACAUUGUGCUUAUUGGUAGACGAACUGA
This is a long non-coding RNA of Ornithodoros turicata, 1278 nucleotides long. RefSeq lists it as uncharacterized. NCBI's taxonomy places the organism in Eukaryota, Metazoa, Arthropoda, Arachnida, Ixodida, Argasidae. The transcript has 3 exons. The record is from RefSeq and is a predicted model, not a curated record.